UGACAGUGUGGCUCAGUGGUAGAGCAUGUCCUUAGCACACACACGGCCCUGGGUUUGAUCCCAGUGUGAA
Molecule: transfer RNA, 70 nt
Filed under: Marmota monax (woodchuck)
Lineage: Eukaryota; Metazoa; Chordata; Mammalia; Rodentia; Sciuridae
Description: tRNA.Ala
Source: RNAcentral